Molecule: long non-coding RNA, 2227 nt
Organism: Equus caballus (horse)
Lineage: Eukaryota; Metazoa; Chordata; Mammalia; Perissodactyla; Equidae
Source: Ensembl
CAGUGACGCCUCUGUUUGGAACCCUGCUUGCAGUUGUAUGGGAAAAGAGAGCAUGGCGAACCACAUACUGGCUUUGAACACUUCUACCUGACAGGAGGAACAAAAUGGCUUCAGUGCAGCUAACCAUAGUGUUAAACAACUAUGUCCCAUUUUGGUACUGAACAUUGUUUGGUAUUUUGCAUUUCAAAAGCCAGAGCAAGUUAUGGCCAAACCUGAAGUCAGUGAGGUGGGGAAGAAAAAUCCUCGCCCAAGGAGGGGCAACAAACACUCGCGAACAGUAACCAGCCUACCACAGACUGGUGUUCGCACGGCGUGAUUUAACCCGUAGCCAGGGCAGCAGUCUGCUGGGCUCAGUGAUUGGUCCAUGUUGGUCCAAUCAGAGUGAAGCAAAGACGGUUGUUUGAUGGUUGGGGGAGGAGUUGACCUUGCUCUUUCGCUCCGAGGGAGCUGCUGCAGCCAUUUUUCUGCCACAAGGUAACAGUGCCAUCUAUGUAUAAAUAGAUGUGCAUGAAGAAAACUGGAAGGGCAUACACAAAACGUGAUACCAGUGGAUGCUUUUGUUCAGGCCUCUCUGCCCUGUGGACCAUAAGCAAAUGCUAAACCUUCGAAGCAGCACCACACAGUUCCUGGGUUAUAAAGGCUUUGUUCCUCAGAUGCUCAGGUCCCCAGAAGGUCAGCUCUCUGGGGCAGGCCAAGCCUGUAGCGUUCACUGGCUUCUCCACAAGCUUAUGAAUAAAGCUGAAACUGUGAACUGUUCAAAAAAGAAAAUAGGUGAUUUGAUUUACAACAAGUUAGUAAAGGAAAACAGUAAGAUUCGGGAACAUCUGCCUUCCAGCAGAAUAUUCUUUGUGUUUCUAAUAAAACCAGGAAGCCAAGUGGAUGGAAGAACUGAUUUGAGAUGUGUGAUGCUGAUCCUUGUGUUAUGUUGGCACAAAUAUGGGCAAUUAGGACACAACUUCACACAACAGUGGGGCAAGAAAGUGAAAUAAGGAAUAGAGGGAUAUCUAGCGAUAAUAGGGUUGAUUAUGUGACAGGCACAUUUAUGGCGAAGCAAAGAGGAAGGGAUUUGGCAUCAAUUAACAGACUUCCUGAGUUCAAACCUGACUCCCUUACUUGCUUAACUUAUCUAAGCGUCAGUUUCCCCAUCUGUGAAAUGAAGAGAGUAAUAUCAUAGGGUCUUUUUGGAGGCACCAAUAAAAUAAAACCUGUAAGACAGCACAGUCCUUGGUGCAUGGUUAGGAGUUAAAGUAAAAUUAAAAAUAAAAAAGUUAACAGUUGUAACUGAUGGCAGAGACACAAAUAUCCCAUUCAUCUAGCGUGUUUAGUUUGCGUCAGUGGUGUCAUGGGAUUGUGUAUAAACGCCCAAUUUUCUCUACCUGCCAUACAUCUCUGACAGGGCCACUCUUAUGAGGAAAAACACCUUUGAGAGAUGUCUCUUGAAUAGGAAUUUGCUUUAGUUAUAUCUUAACAUAAGCAAGAGGCUUUUUUGUUAAAAUAACUUACUUCACUGUUCUGGCCCACUGCCCUGAACAUUCCACUUUGUUUUGUGUGACAGUGGGUUUUAAGUCAGCCAGUGUACAAGGCCCCAGAAUUCUGUUACAUCUGGGUUCAGAAAACUAUUUACUUUCUUCUAUAGUUUUCUGAACUAAUCUUAUUUCUUGGUUGUCACAUCUCAUAACUCACAACUGCUAUGUAUUGAAUUUUGGCCUUUCUCUUUCCCCUUCACCAUAAAGCUACAUCCUUGAAAGACAGGCAGCCCUUUCUUUCUUUUUUUUUCCCCUUAAUUUUUCACUGCAAAACUAAUUCGCAUACUUUGUUGAUUUUUUUUUCAUCCAAAGGCAAAUAACACAGGUGUGUGUGUGUGUGUGUGUGUAUAUGUGUGUGUAUAUAGUUCCCCAACUAAAAAGGGGAAAUCCGCCAUUAACUUCCAUAAUUUCCUCACCUCCAUGCCACUUUACAGAGAUAAUUGAUGUUAACCAUAGGCCUGUGUUCUUCCAAACAGCUUUCCAUGUAUCUACAAACAUUCCUAUCCUAUAUGUUAGGGAGAAAUUUGUUGUUGAUUUGACAAAAAUAAAAUCAUUGUAUACACACUGUUCUGCAGCUUGCUUUUUUUCCUGUUUAACCACGUACCACGGACAUCUUCUCAUAGUGUUGUUGUUCCCAUUUUUUUGUAACGAGUUGUGUUCUGUAAGCAUAACUGUGUAUAGUUAUUAACUUAUCCCUUCAU